AAUCAAAGCAACAGUUGUGGCGCAGUUCUAAAUGAGUGACUACUCUAGCUUGAUGAUUACUGCUUAUAAACAUAUAUCUUAGAAGUGAUCCAGGGAAGUUACCAGUCUUCAACCAUUGUGAUACAGCAGUCUCAGAGAGAAAUGGCACCUACUAAAUCUGCUGCUACUUGCCCCUUCAAAAUCCCCAAUAAGUUCCUGAAAGUUGUUGGAGAGGGCGGCUUUGGAACAGUGGUGAAAUGUUUGAAAAUCAGGACCGGUGAGACUGUGGCUAUAAAGUUUCCUACAUGCAGGAGCCACUAAAUCACGAGGGAGCUGCAGUUGGAGGAAAAUCAUGAGACUGAAGCCGUAGAGAGAGAGAGAGAGAGAGAGAGAGAGAGCAGUAUAUCGAGCUCCUGAAGGCCAUGCUGAAAGUUGAUGCAAGGGAGAGAAUCACUCCCUGUGAGGUCCUCACUCAUCUAUUCAUCACAAAAGACUACCCGAAGUCACAACAUGCUAGCGCGCUGUGUGUUGACGUGUUACAGUACAUGGAAAAUGAAAUGGCAAAAGCCAUCCAGAGCGCACUUUCUAAAGCACAGAAUAGAAGAUGUAGGAGAAACGUGUAAAGGAGAAAGGCUGACUGGAUGAAGGUUUCAAUCCAGAGGUGAGGUGUGACUGUAGAACACACGCGCACAAAAUGUCCGUGCAGGAUUCCACGGUUGCUGUGUUUUUCUCCAGGUGCAUCAUUUCUAUCAGGUCUUCAUUUAAAAACAAACGCAGCCAGACACUGUCAACAUGAGAGACUUUACAGACUUCACUCAUCAACCCAAACCCCAGAUUUUUGUUUCUGUCCUGUCCUCCAACAUGGAACAUGUGAGACUUGAACAAUUUGACAGUCUGAUGGUGUUUUCUGUGUGUUUUGAAGCCUGACAGGUGAAAGUCGUCACAGACUAAUAAAGUGUAGAGAAAAGAAUAAAGGUUACUAAAGUAUUUAGAAAUGAAGCAGCUGUUUCACAUCCACAUCUACAUCAUGUAAUGGGAGGCAGUGGUGGACAGGGGAGAGGAGUUUGGUCCCAGCACCUCCAUCCAUCAACGUUCCCCCCCCGGCCCACCUGCCAACCAGCCGAGCUCCACUGGUGUGAACCGCGCCGGUCCAGUGAAGAUACACAACUGCUCAGUGGAAGAUUACCAGAGAGUCUAUGAAGUGGUGGACAACCUGCUGAGGUACCAGAGCGGCCGGGUUCAUCCGUACAGUUUCCAGCUGGGACGGCGUAUCACAUGGAAGCUGUGGGAGAGACUGGACCGCCCCGCCAUGACAUCAUCGACCCAUCAAGAUGGACUCACACACGUGGACGUCUCGUACGGGGCUGGAUUCUCUCCUCCCCUCUACGAUGUAGACACUUUGGGAGAACCGAGCCCCGGACAGCCUCCACUUAAAAGAGCCAAGAAGUCCGACUGACCUGAGAGCAGCGGCUUCACUCUAACAUUCUGUAAUAAGAUCAAAUCCAGCGAGUAAAUAUUUGAGACGGCAACACAACUGGCCUCAUUUACACCAGAAUAUACAGCCUCCAUCAGUAAUCAAGACACAACCUCUGAGAGCCAUCUGGAGUAAGAGGCUCCACAAGUCUCCUCCAGUCACUUUAAAACCUAAACCGUGCAUUUUUACUACGUCAGCCCUCCGCUGCUCCAGUCUCCACCUGCAGACAGCAGACAGCUGCAAAGACUUACUCCACCCGAAUCUUCCGCCAAGAACAUCCACUGCCAGCACCGCCUGUAAAUUCUUGUCGUCAGCUACAACGUGAUUCAUCCAACUGCAGCUGCUUCCAAUUCCUGCCUCCACCUGCUGCCUCUGCCAGAAACCUGCAGCCACCAGCCCCACCUGCAGAUUCUCGCAGAGAACUGGAACAAGUCCACCUACAGCCUCUGCCAGCAACAUCUACUGCAACCUCCACCUGUGGAUUCUGUCAGAUCGCUGCAACCCAUGUCCUACAACUAAAGUCCUCUUCUAGAAACCUGCACCUCUGACUCCACUUAAGUAUCUUCCAUCUUUCUGCCUUCAGUCUCUGCCAGUAACCUGUAGUUUCCUCCACCAACAGAUUCUGAAAGACUAGUAAGACCACUGCCUCCACCUCCAUCCUCGACUGAUAUACAAGUACUGCUGCCUCCGUCAGUCAGUAGAUCUGUGCUGACAAACACAAGCCUCCACCUAAAGCCUCUGUCAGGAACCUGCAGCUGCCUCAUCCACCUGCAGAUCCUGCUAGGAAACUGCAGCCCAAACCUCCACCUAAAUUGUCUUCCAUCUUCUGCUGACAGCUUCUACCUGUAACCUUUUCUGUGUCUACCCACAGAUUUUGGAAGCCUCCACCUCCAACAUCCAUCCUCAGCUGAAAAACAACCACGCUGCCUUCAUCAGAUUUGCACAGACACAAGCCACCACCUAAAGUCUCUGCCAGCAACCUGCAGUGGCGAACUCCACCUGCAGAGGCCAUGACCUAAACUCCACUUUUAGCCUCUGCCAAUAACCUGCAGCCACUACCUCCACCUCCACCAUUCUUGCAGACAGUUGAAGCCCAAACCUCUUUCUACAGCCUAUGCAAGCAACCUCAAGCUUCCUCCACCUGUAGAUUCUUGCAGAUAGCUGUAGUCAAACCCUCUGCCUCCAUCAUCUGCAGCCUGAACCUCCACCCGCAGCCUCUGCCACAAACCUGAAACCACUGCUUCAUCCUGCUUAUUCUGACCUGUAGCAUAAUCCUCCACUUACAGCUUCUUCUAGCAACCUGCAGUCCCCUCCACCUGCAGAUGGUUGCAAACUGCUACAGCCCCCACCAGAAACAUCCACUGCCAGUAAACAUCCAGUGAGUCAAGUGCAGUAAGUGCUGAACUAAAGAGUCGUUAUAGAAGGAUCUGAACUCCAUGUGAGAUGGAUAAAGACACAUUUUCAGAACUUUAUUUUGUUUUGUAUCAUCUCAGACAAACAUCAGUUGGUGGAUCAAUGCUGUUCCUAAAGGCAUCGUCAAACUGGAUCAGCUGUCGAUCAUAAAGGGAGUCCAAGCUGUGUCAUCAUCAUGGCACUGUCCUCCAAAGAGCUGCUAGAGAUCAUCAUUACACUGAGCUACGGUGACCACAGACGCAUUUGGCUGACAGUCACCAGUUAACAUAGCCCCGUGUUGAUCCUAAACACCGGCUGUGGGGAUGGUGGCACCUGCUCUCGGCGUGACGGAGAGGGUUGGUUCGCCCCCACUGACCAGCGUCAACGGACUCUUCAGAAAUCCAGACUUUACCUGGUGACAGUUGCUGUAACUGUCAGUGGUAAAGUGGACACUGCAGAGACAGGUGUAUGUGGUGAUUAUGAACCCACAGUAGCUCCUCUUGACAAAAUUGAUCCACCGUUUUCCUUAUGUUGUAGUCUGUACGAAACUUAAAAAAGCUAACGGCGCCGUUACCCUGCACACGGCAUCCAGGAAAGAUGCACGAGCGACGUGGAGGAAGCAUGACUGGUUAGCUGACUGGUUGACUGGUUAGACGCUAUCCGAGACUGGAGAGCGAGCAGAACAACCACCGAUGCUAAUGUGCACUGAACGUAUUUAUACCGCUCCCGCAGCAGCCUUCCGCGUUACGUAACGCGGCUAUGAUUUUAAAACACAGUUUGUGAGCCUAGCUCCACAGUUAAAUUCUAAAUGGUUGAAAGACUUUUUAUAUGUUUUAAAGAAGUACAUUUAUGACCUAUUUCUUGUGUUUAGAAGAAAAUGGCUGAAUUUGCUUUACACUGACUUUAAUCAUUCUUUUUUUUUUUCACCAUGGGAGGCCAACUCAGCUCGGCGUCCUCACAGACAACCGAGUGCAGUACCAUGUUUUCAACGUUAACUCACCACGUAACAUUUAGAGGGGUGCCAUUUUACACAUCAUAACACCCUCAAUAAUUAAUGAAGAGAGACGAGGAGGAGACACAACACAGAAACUGUGUUUUAUUAAAUGACAGUUAUAUUCUGAAAAAAAUGAGGAGGCUUCCCUUGGCCUCCGCAAGAAACCGACAUCUCGGUGGAUCGGCUCCAGUGCCAACCCGUACCGGCUGCUUUAAUUUAGUGACAUUCUGUGUAAUAAAAAGUUAUUUUGUGCAUGAGUUCUAAUUUCUGUCCUGUGUGUGUGUGCGUGCGUGUGAAGGAUGGUGUUGGUGUCUUUAACCAUUGUGAUACAGGUGAGUAACUCCUUCUUUUCUGUUUCAGGGGUCAGACAGUUGACAUGAAUUGAUAAUAUUACAAAUGGUUAAGUUAUUUGCAGGAAAUCAGACCUCAGAGAGAGAAUCUGUAUGCUUAUUUAAAGUAGACUGAUCUCAAAUUUAGCAACUUUGAAGUGAAUAUUAACACUGAGUGGAAUUUCCCUUGAUUUUUUCGCUUUGAUUGGUGACAGGGUAGAAACCACUGGUUGGUAGCAAAAUAAAUAUACACAAUCUGUAGAACAAUAUCUGAAAAAUGGUUAGUGUGUAUGAGAGUGUUUCAGUAGUGUGUAUGAGCGUGUUUCACUUACUUGUAUGUAUGAUAAUGUUUCAGUAGUGUAUAUAAGAGCAUUUCACAUGUAUGUGUGAGAGUGUUUUAGUAGUGUGUGUGAGUGAAUAAUUUUUCAGUUGUUUAUGUUAGAGUGUUUCAGUAGUGUAUGUAAGAGCAUUUCACAUGUGUUUGUGAGAGGUAAUUCUGAAUAAUGUCCCUGACGGCCCCUCAUACAACGACCUCAACCCUGACAAACAACACAACAAGUUUAUCCAUAGUUUUCAGACCAGUGAUGGAGAGGCGCUUGUGUAUGAGCCAUUGGAUAUCAGCCUUUAUGACUACAUGAAGAAGAGAAAUGAUGACCCUAUGCCUCUGAGUGACAUCAGAACCAUCAUCCAACAGGCAUGAACACAGCACCAUCAGAU
RNA transcript from Acanthopagrus latus (yellowfin seabream), 4885 nucleotides. RefSeq lists it as uncharacterized. The transcript is spliced from 8 exons. NCBI's taxonomy places the organism in Eukaryota, Metazoa, Chordata, Actinopteri, Spariformes, Sparidae. The record is from RefSeq and is a predicted model, not a curated record.